RNAcentral lists this ribosomal RNA (544 nucleotides) under uncultured Glomeromycotina. Its description in RNAcentral is "SSU rRNA". It matches the Rfam family "Eukaryotic small subunit ribosomal RNA", at positions 548 to 1098 of the family's 1831-position model. Lineage: Eukaryota; Fungi; Glomeromycota. The record is from RNAcentral.
UUGGAGGGCAAGUCUGGUGCCAGCAGCCGCGGUAAUUCCAGCUCCAAUAGCGUAUAUUAAAGUUGUUGCAGUUAAAAAGCCCGUAGUUGAAUUUCGGGGUUCUACCGUUGGUCGGGCUUUGUCUGUACUGGUGUGUAGAAUUUCUACCUUCUGGGGAACCAUCAUGCUAUUAAUUUAGCGUGGUGGGAAACCAGGACCUUUACCUUGAAAAAAUUAGUGUGUUCAAAGCAGGCUUAUGUCUGAAUACAUUAGCGUGGAAUAAUAGAAUAGGACGGUGGUCCUGUUUUGUUGGUUUCUGAAUCACCGUAAUGAUUAAUAGGGAUAGUUGGGGGCAUUAGUAUUCAAUUGUCAGAGGUGAAAUUCUUGGAUUUAUUGAAGACUAACUUCUGCGAAAGCAUUUGCCAAGGAUGUUUUCAUUAAUCAAGAACGAAAGUUAGGGGAUCGAAGACGAUCAGAUACCGUCGUAGUCUUAACCAUAAACUAUGCCGACUAGGGAUCGGACGAUGUUAAUUUUUCUUGACUCGUUCGGCGCCUUACGGGAAAC